Long non-coding RNA from Alexandromys fortis (reed vole), 3772 nucleotides. RefSeq lists it as uncharacterized. The record is from RefSeq and is a predicted model, not a curated record. NCBI's taxonomy places the organism in Eukaryota, Metazoa, Chordata, Mammalia, Rodentia, Cricetidae. The transcript is spliced from 3 exons.
GUGACAUCCAGCAAGGACGUCAUCCCAGUGAGAGGAAGGGAGAAACAAAGCACUAUCCUCACCAUCUCUUCACCAUGUUUGUUUGCUUGUAUAAAGCCACAUUGCCUCACAGAGUGGGUUUGAAAAUAACACAGGAAUUCAGCGCAUGAAAACGUGUUACAGAGACCACUGCAGACAACCAUAAUCAAUCAAAUGCAGAGCUGCGGAGCACAGUCUCCAUGGACGGAUUUUUAUUGACCUGAAGUUUGUCAACCAGCCUUGUCUGACUAGCAAGCUCCACAACAGUCCAUGUGUUGUGACAUCAGCCAUCAUAUCUGCUCCUCAAUGAGGGCGCAACUGACCGUACUCAGGUGCUUGUGUCUGACAGCGCACACUUCACCAGCGGAGCCAACGUCCCACCUGUGACCUCGUUUCCAUGAAUAACUCGCUGCUGUCAUUCGAUACAUCCCCUCUCCCUCUCUUGUAAUUUCCUUCUCUAUUCUCUCUUGUCUCUAUCUCUUUUAUUAGCAAUAUUCAUCCAGCCUUAUUUUUGUUUAAAGUGUUAUGUGGUUUGUGUUACGCUGUAGACAUUCUCUAGUGAUGAGUUGGCCUAUGUUCCCAUUUCAUGUGGAGGUGAGAGGCAGGGAGCAGUGAGACCCAGACCCUGGAGAAAAUCCCUGAGCUGUAUGUAGAGGCCAGUGCAGCAAGCCACUGUUUCACCGUGGAUGAGGAUGGAAUUUCUGCCACUUCUUCACGAUGUGUUUUUCAUUGUGUAUUCUGCCCAUGCACCUGAGCCUGGCUUCCUCUGUGGUGAUCCUACCAAGCUGAGUAUAUGGUAGUCCAAUCUGGAAAUGUUGUUAGACCAUGAUGUCAAUGAUUAAUCUUAUCUGUGAAGAGGAAUCUAUAUCUUAUAAGUACACAAGUGCUAAACUAUGAAAGGCAAAUCAUUAUUUUAAUGCUACAAUGGAUCUUUAGCCUCCAGAUGUUACUAAUCCCAAGUUUUUUAAUCUGCAUUUGGCAGUACUUAGCAUGGUAUUAUAUGGGCCAAUCUUUUUUUUUUUUUUUUUUUUUUUUUUUUUGCUUAAUUCACCUGUAAUUCAAGGAUUUGUAGAUUGAAAAGAGAAUAGGACCCCUGAAUGAGGGUCUAGUGUUAUGUAAAUAAAUGCUGGGCUAGAACCCAGCAUCUAGGCACCAGUUACGAAGAACUACAUGUGACAACCUAAUAACACACACUUCUACAACAAGCAGAAUGCUUGAAUUUUAAAAAAAUGGAGACAGUAGCAUGUGUACCAUGAGGCAAGAUUUUGAGUUAUAGACUAUUUGUGGCACUUGAGAGGUGCAGCCCUUGGAGAGACUGGGAAGAAGGUUACGCCUUCUAAAAGGAAGGGUCUGUCCAUAGGCUGGCCACCUAAUGACUGUCACACAUUGGUACAUCCUGGCCUGCUUGGCAUCGCCCAAGUGAUGCCCGGCUCUACCUUGUGACCCUGUGGGGUUUCCGCUGUGAGGUAUUCACCAAAGAUGGCUCCUUUGUUGCUGGGCUUCCAGAGUUCUAGAGGAAUGAGAUUCUCUCCUUUAUCGAUUACUCAGCCUCACGUAUUCAGUUAUAAUAAAAAUGAGCAGACUAAGACAAGUGGAUAUUGUGGUCACUUAGCAAGGAAGCACAGAAAACACGUCUUGUACACCCUGACACCGGGAAGAAAAGUGUGGGCAGAGUUCACACCCCGGGGGUCUGCCUCUGGAGACUUGUCCUCAGUGCUGAUGCCAGGCCUUCUUAGGAGGCUCCGGGUCAGGACAGUGCUCAGUGAAGCAAGUAAAAAGACAGCCGUGUAACUUGAACCAUUGUAGCACAUGCAAAGACACAAAUCACCUGCAGGUUUCCUACAGAGAGGGAGGCUUCAGUGGCUGAUGCCUCCUGGAACAUUUCUGGCCCUGGUCUGUGGAUAAAGAAAUAAUCGAGCGGGCCCAGUGAACUUCUCUGGCUCAAUCUGCUGUUUCAGAUGCUUCUUCUAUUUUUGGCACAACUCUUCUGAGCAUUUUUCUAAGGCUGAUAUAAACUGGUGGGUCGAUGUGACUCAGAACUUUUAUCUUUUUCUUCUUGGCCAUUUUGGUGUUUUUGAUGUAUUCAACAGCUAAAGUAGAAGCCACUUCUACCUGAGCAUUUGUUUCAUUGGCUUUGCCUUGUUUGAUGCUGCCCAUAUAACUUGUUUAUUGGUCCACACGGUGGACUAGCCCUGGACGGAUUCAUCUGGGGUGAGAUUGCGAAGGAGAGUAGAUGGAGACAGGACAGCAAAGUCACUGGAGAGGACGUGGUUGGUUCUUUCCACCACUCAGUCUGUUCUCGAAUGACAAUGGCUUCUAAACCCCAGACUCUGUGGUCUCACCAUUGAUCACCAUUGAUCACGAAGAACAGAAAGAAGAAGAGUUAAAGACAGAAAUGGAAUACACAGGAAAAGAUGUGUCCAUGAUUUCAAAAGUAGACACAAAAGAUUAGUGAAUGGAAAUUUCCCCACGACCCAUUCUAUAUAGACAUGAGGAUGGUUGUACAUUUUACAAAACUUUAUCAUGGGGUUGAAGGGUAAAGUGUUUGCCGCACAUGUCCGAGGAGCUAUGAUCAGAUCCUCGCACCCACUGGACUUGGUAGUCCACAUCCUCCAUCCUAGCAUGGGUGGAGGGAGGCAGGCAGAUUGCUUUGAGUGCACUGGAAAGCCAGACUAGCCAAUUGGUGGGUUCUGGGCUUAGUGAGACCUUGACUCAAAAGACAAUGUGAAGGGUCAUAGUGGAAGACACCCAACAUUGGCCUUGGACUUCCACAUGCAUGUGAAGACAUGUGUACUCCUUACCUUUGCACCUAAGUGUACAUGCAUACAUACAUGACAUGUACAUACACACACACACACACACACACACACACACACAAGAAAAUCCAGCUCAGACGAAGGGAAAGCAGUGGACAGACACCAUCUUGCCUUGAUAGCCUUGGCUUCUAUGACAACCUUCUUUCAGCAUGGGUCCCAGUGACCACAACUCUUGUUAUUUAUGAUGGUGUAAUAGUGUUGGUGUGUCUGGUUGAUAGGGCAGAGACUAUGGCUUGUUACUCUGCUGGGGUAAGAGAGACAUCGCAGCCUCUUAUGUCCUGUGGUCUCUCCCUCUGAUCACUCCCUAAAGCAGUAUAUUGGGGAGAGGUGCCCCACGAUCAGCUUUAUUAUCAUGGAAGCAUGUCCUCCAGGAUUGCAUUAUGACCCCAGCCCCGGCUUCUGUUGUGACUGCAAUGUCUGUGUAAGACCCCAGUCCAGAGCCACCCAGGUAAACACUCCUGAAAUUCAGACCUAAGGUAGAUGACUAUGAUUUGAAGCUACUGCAUUUGAGAUAAUUUAGCAUGCAGCAAAAUAUAAUGAAUAGGGAAUGGAGAAAUGGCUCAAUGGUUCUUGCUGUGUAAACCUGAGAACCUAAGUUCAACACCCAGCACCCACACCAAAAGCUUGUUAUGGCAGUGUAUCUCUGUUUGCCUAGAAGAGGGGACAUGGGAUUAGGAGAAUCUCUGGAGCUUGGGGACAGCUAGUUUUGCCAAAUUGGUGAGAUUUGGGUUCAGGAAGAGACCCUGUUUCAAAAAAUAAGGUGGAGAAUGACAAAACAAGACACCUAAGGUUGAUCUCUGGCUUCCAUGUGCCUAGGUACACAUGUGUACAGGAACCUGCAUAAACACAUGCACACACAGACAUGUACAUAUUCAUACAUAAACACAAGCAUAUGCAGCAUGUACACAUGCAUACACUAAUCAACAAUAACCCCACCA